This 481-nucleotide ribosomal RNA is filed under the name uncultured bacterium. RNAcentral's name for it is "partial 16S ribosomal RNA". It matches the Rfam family "Bacterial small subunit ribosomal RNA", at positions 28 to 523 of the family's 1533-position model. The record is from RNAcentral.
GACGAACGCUGGCGGCGUGCUUAACACAUGCAAGUCGAACGGUGAAAGGGAGCUUGCUCCCUGGAUCAGUGGCGAACGGGUGAGUAACACGUGGGCAACCUGCCCCAGACUUCGGGAUAACGCUUCGAACGAGGUGCUAAUACCGGAUACGAACUCCAUGGGCAUCCUUGGAGUUGGAAAGUUUUUCGGUCUGGGAUGGGCCCGCGGCCUAGCAGCUCUUUGGUGAGGUCACGGCUCACCAAGGCGACGACGGGUAGCCGGCCUGAGAGGGCGACCGGCCACACUGGGACUGAGACACGGCCCAGACUCCUACGGUAGGCAGCAGUGGGGAAUAUUGCGCAAUGGGCGAGAGCCUGACGCAGCAACGCCGCGUGAGGGAUGACGGCCUUCGGGUUGUAAACCUCUUUCAGCAGGGAAGAAGCGAAAGUGACGGUACCUGCAGAAGUAGCACCGGCUAACUACGUGCCAGCAGCCGCGGUAA